RNAcentral lists this ribosomal RNA (495 nucleotides) under uncultured bacterium. RNAcentral's name for it is "partial 16S ribosomal RNA". It matches the Rfam family "Bacterial small subunit ribosomal RNA", at positions 28 to 507 of the family's 1533-position model. The record is from RNAcentral.
GACGAACGCUGGCGGCGUGCCUAAUACAUGCAAGUAGAACGCUGAAGGAGUAGCUUGCUUCUCUGGAUGAGUUGCGAACGGGUGAGUAACGCGUAGGUAACCUGCCUGGUAUCGGGGGAUAACUAUUGGAAACGAUAGCUAAUACCGCAUAAGAGUAGAUGUUGCAUGACAUUUGCUUAAAAGGUGCAAUUGCAUCACUACCAGAUGGACCUGCGGUGUAUUAGCUAGGUGGUGGGGUAACGGCUUACCAAGGCGACGAUACAUAGCCGACCUGAGAGGGUGAUCGGCCACACUGGGACUGGGACACGGCCCAGACUCCUACGGGAGGCAGCAGUAGGGAAUCUUCGGCAAUGGACGGAAGUCUGACCGAGCAACGCCGCGUGAGUGAAGAAGGUUUUCGGAUCGUAAAGCUCUGUUGUAAGAGAAGAAAGAGUGUGAGAGUGGAAAGUUCACACUGUGACGGUAUCUAACCAGAAAGGGACGGCUAACUACGUG